This 803-nucleotide ribosomal RNA is filed under the name uncultured Flavobacteriia bacterium. Its description in RNAcentral is "bacterial SSU rRNA". It matches the Rfam family "Bacterial small subunit ribosomal RNA", at positions 66 to 867 of the family's 1533-position model. Lineage: Bacteria; Pseudomonadati; Bacteroidota; Flavobacteriia. The record is from RNAcentral.
GGGGCAGCAGGGGUAGCAAUACUCGCUGGCGACCGGCAAACGGGUGCGGAACACGUACACAACCUUCCUUAAAGUGGGGAAUAGCCCAGGGAAACUUGGAUUAAUACCCCGUAAUAUUAUUAGAUGGCAUCAUUUGAUAAUUAUAGCUCCGGCGCUUAAAGAUGGGUGUGCGGCUGAUUAGGUAGUUGGCGGGGUAACGGCCCACCAAGCCUUCGAUCAGUAACUGGUGUGAGAGCACGACCAGUCACACGGGCACUGAGACACGGGCCCGACUCCUACGGGAGGCAGCAGUAAGGAAUAUUGGUCAAUGGACGCAAGUCUGAACCAGCCAUGCCGCGUGGAGGAUGAAGGUCCUCUGGAUUGUAAACUUCUUUUAUCUGGGAAGAAACCCAAGGUUUCUAUUUUGGUUGACGGUACCAGAUGAAUAAGCACCGGCUAACUCCGUGCCAGCAGCCGCGGUAAUACGGAGGGUGCAAGCGUUAUCCGGAUUCACUGGGUUUAAAGGGUGCGUAGGUGGGCUAGUAAGUCAGUGGUGAAAUCUCCGGGCUUAACCCGGAAACUGCCAUUGAUACUAUUAGUCUUGAAUGUUGUGGAGGUAAGCGGAAUAUGUCAUGUAGCGGUGAAAUGCUUAGAUAUGACAUAGAACACCGAUAGCGUAGGCAGCUUACUACACAAAUAUUGACACUGAGGCACGAAAGCGUGGGGAUCAAACAGGAUUAGAUACCCUGGUAGUCCACGCCCUAAACGAUGGAUACUCGACAUCAGCGAUACACUGUUGGUGUCUGAGCGAAAGCAUUAAGUAU